GUUCUCUGAGGAAAUAUCCCGCUGAUAUCAAAGUCAAAUCUCCAGACACUUACACGCUGGUGGGGCAGAACGUCACGCUGGAGUGCUUCGCACUGGGGAACCCCAUCCCUCAGAUCCGAUGGAGGAAGGUGGAUGGCGAUCUGCCAGUCCAUCGUUAUAACAUCAGUAUGGCAGGAAGUCUCCUCCAUCUUUACGACAUUCAGUACGAGGACGAGGGUUUGUAUGAGUGCGUGGCCGACAACUCCAAAGGCAAAGACCGACACAAAGUGCACCUGUAUGUGGAGGGAGCUCCUGAAUGGGUGGAGAAAAUCAGCCCCUCAGAAAGAGACAUCGGAGGCGAUUACAUCAUGUCCUGU
Labeo rohita (rohu) is the source of this 356-nucleotide long non-coding RNA. RefSeq lists it as uncharacterized. The record is from RefSeq and is a predicted model, not a curated record. The transcript is spliced from 3 exons. NCBI's taxonomy places the organism in Eukaryota, Metazoa, Chordata, Actinopteri, Cypriniformes, Cyprinidae.